UCCUGACACACCCCGUCCCGAAGGAGGGCAUGCUGGCCGUCACGUGAGAGUGACGUAACCAUUUGCACAGUACGGAAGCUUUAAGAUACAAUUUAUAAGUUGAUACACCCGAAGGUGAGUCCUAAUUUUGUCCAAUCUGUCAGAACACCGUCGAAUUCCUCGUAGUCACCACACCUUUGUGAUUCCUGAACCUGGAGGGGCGCAAAACCAAAAUUGAGUGGGUCAGUAAAACAAUUCUUUUCAAAUCCAAUUUUUUCUCAAAGCAUUGUAACCCCUCUCCGUAAAACCUGUAUACUUUCCCAGAAAUGUAAAAUAUAAAUAUACAUAUAUAUUCUCAAAAACUUCAAGUCGUUAACUCAACAUUUUCAUAACAAUUAUGUCAUGCCACAUCAUCUCAAACAUUUCUCAUAUUAAUUAUGCCAUGCCACAUCAUCUCAACAGUAAUAAGGUAUGAAUGCAUCAACAUAAUCAUAUCAGGUGCAAGAAAGUAAUCAACCGUAGGCCCUCUAAUAGCCCUGUACGGUUGAACCUAGAGCUCAAAAUCUAUCACUCUCACUCUCUGCCGGAGUCACUCCGCGUGACCUGUACGGCCUUCUGCACAUAAGUUACGCUCUAGUGCUUUUCAUAAUCAUCUGUGCACAUAAUCUAAGGUCACCCACCAGUCGGAAUCUCACUAACACUCUCGCGACUGGCCUGUCGUACCCACUCCGCGUGGACUGUACGACUAGCAUCUACUUGGAUCCAAGACGAGCGUGCGAUGCGGUGAAUACUAUAAGCACUAAACUAUGGUGCAUGAUUUGAGCUCAAUAUACAUCAACAUCAUCAUAACAGAAAUAAAUACUCACAUGUGCGUCCACCGCACCAUUUCAUACAUAUGCAUCAUAAAUCAAUUCUUACCUGUGCGUCCACCGCACCAAUUCAUACAUAUGCAUCAUAAAUCAAUUCUUACCUGUGCGUCCACCGCACCAAUUCAUACAUAUGCAUCAUAUAUUAAUUCAUGCAUGGCAUUUCAAUUCACAUUUCUAUAUACUUUUCAUAUCAAUUCUAUGCAUGGUAUUUCACUUCCCGUUUUUCCACAUAACUCAUAUGCAUUUCAUUUUAAACAUAUUUUCAUUUCAAUUCAAUUUCUGGGAAACGUCAAGUAUAUAUAUAUACGGAAAACAAAACUGCCCACUCACCUGGAGUUCGUCCAACAACUCCCUAGCACCACACAUCAAGGCGUCACGACGAUCGCCGCCUAGAAUAGUAAUCAAAUCCAACCUCAGAAUUCAUAUCGAUAGAAUAUAUAACUUAUAUAAAAUACGUCACUACGUAGUUCGAUCCGAAAGAUCUGCCACUCAGAUUUUAAAUCCAUAACUUCCAGAGGUCCACAAUAUAUCUCUAGGAUAACCUCCUAAAAUUUCAUUACCAUCCAACGGUCGGAUCUCCGUAAAUUUCCAAAACAAUUCCAAUUCCGGAAGAUCCGUAACUCGGAUUCCCAAUCCGUAAGUUCCAAUAAUCCUCAAAUAUUACGUAUUACAACGUAUCAAAGUUUGGUAACGAUCCAACGGUCGGAUCGUCAAUUCACAUUUUUACCUAAAUGUGAAAACUAUAAAACGUUAUUCGAACACCUAACCAACAAUCCUUAAUAACUUUCUCAUACGGUGCUCAAUUUGGGUAUAUGAAUAUACCACGGUGAUCUACUCGACGUCACGGACGUCGACAUAUUUUUAAAAUAAUUUUAUUUUUAUUUUUUUACUGUAGCACCUUCUUCUUCCUUGGGUCGCCGGACUGGUUUUUCCGGCGGCCGUUUUCCGGGCAGUUUUUCAAAUUUCCAUAACUUUGUCAUUUCUCAACGAAAUCAAGUGAUUCAAAAACGAGAGUUGUAGCCCUUGAAGAGACAAAGAGAAUGGUACCUUUCACAACACCUAGUUCGCCGUGGUUUGGCCGGAAACUGCCUCGAAAGCCUCGGAGGUCGCCGGAAACUGGGUAUUUUUCAAAUGAGUAUAACUUCUUCAAUACUCAACGAAAUUGAGUGAAACAAAAAGGAAAGUUGUAGUACUUGACGAGACGAAGAUAUUUAUACCUACCUCGACUCCUAACUCGCAGGGGAUUCGCCGGAAAAAGCCUCGAAAGCUCCGGCCAAACUUUGAACUUGUCGAUCUCCGUGUUCUUACGUCCAAAAACUUCCAACGAAGCACUCCGAGCUUCCUUGGGACUUCCUAAAGCUCACUAUGAGCUUGGUUUGGCCUAAAACACGACCAAUUCAAAGCUCAUGAACAGUACACAUUCACGGCAACUUUAGAAACUAGGGUUUUCGAAGUGAAACUUACUUGAAAUGGGUAUCAUCGUGAUCGUAUGGUCUUCAGGAGUACGAUGGCACUCUUAAAUCCGUCGUUGGUGGAAGUUUAGGGUGUUUUUGUGGUGGUCUUGGUGGUUGCCGUGUGUUCGAGAGGGUGAGAGAGAGAGAGAGAUCUGAAAUGGAAGAAGAAGAGAGAGAAGGGAAAGGUUACGGGUUUUAGGGAGUGUUUUGAGGUAUGAGGAUCCCAC
Molecule: long non-coding RNA, 2529 nt
Filed under: Malus domestica (apple)
Lineage: Eukaryota; Viridiplantae; Streptophyta; Magnoliopsida; Rosales; Rosaceae
Description: long non-coding RNA (MDOM_LNC018954)
Source: RNAcentral